Molecule: small nucleolar RNA, 123 nt
Organism: Erinaceus europaeus (western European hedgehog)
Lineage: Eukaryota; Metazoa; Chordata; Mammalia; Eulipotyphla; Erinaceidae
Source: Ensembl
AAACCAUAUUCUGUGGCAGAUAAUGGAAACUGUCUUGAACAAAUCAAGUUUGCUAUAGCAUGAGAGUCUAACCUGUUCUGGUGUUAACUUCUUGAGACAGGCUAUUACAUAGGCUUAAACAUU